This 444-nucleotide ribosomal RNA is filed under the name uncultured bacterium. RNAcentral's name for it is "bacterial SSU rRNA". It matches the Rfam family "Bacterial small subunit ribosomal RNA", at positions 331 to 792 of the family's 1533-position model. The record is from RNAcentral.
CCAGACUCCUACGGGAGGCAGCAGUGGGGGAUAUUGCACAAUGGGGGGAACCCUGAUGCAGCGACGCCGCGUGGGCGAUGGAGUGCUUCGGCAUGUAAAGCCCUAUCAGCAGGGAAGAAAAUGACGGUACCUGACUAAGAAGCCCCGGCUAAAUACGUGCCAGCAGCCGCGGUAAUACGUAUGGGGCAAGCGUUAUCCGGAUUUACUGGGUGUAAAGGGAGCGUAGACGGCAUGGCAAGUCAGAUGUGAAAGCCCGGGGCUCAACCCCGGGACUGCAUUUGGAACUGUAAGGCUAGAGUGUCGGAGAGGCGGGCGGAAUUCCUAGUGUAGCGGUGAAAUGCGUAGAUAUUAGGAGGAACACCAGUGGCGAAGGCGGCCUGCUGGACGAUGACUGACGUUGAGGCUCGAAAGCGUGGGGAGCAAACAGGAUCAGAUACCCUUGUA